AGUGAACGCUGGCGGUAGGCCUAACACAUGCAAGUCGAACGGCAGCACAGUAAGAGUUUGCUCUUACGGGUGGCGAGUGGCGGACGGGCGAGGAAUACAUCGGAAUCUACUUUUUCGUGGGGGAUAACGUAGGGAAACUUACGCUAAUACCGCAUACGACCUACGGGUGAAAGCAGGGGAUCUUCGGACCUUGCGCGAUUGAAUGAGCCGAUGUCGGAUUAGCUAGUUGGCGGGGUAAAGGCCCACCAAGGCGACGAUCCGUAGCUGGUCUGAGAGGAUGAUCAGCCACACUGGAACUGAGACACGGUCCAGACUCCUACGGGAGGCAGCAGUGGGGAAUAUUGGACAAUGGGCGCAAGCCUGAUCCAGCCAUACCGCGUGGGUGAAGAAGGCCUUCGGGUUGUAAAGCCCUUUUGUUGGGAAAGAAAAGCAGCAGGUUAAUACCCCGCUGUUCUGACGGUACCCAAAGAAUAAGCACCGGCUAACUUCGUG
RNAcentral lists this ribosomal RNA (492 nucleotides) under uncultured bacterium. Its description in RNAcentral is "partial 16S ribosomal RNA". It matches the Rfam family "Bacterial small subunit ribosomal RNA", at positions 29 to 507 of the family's 1533-position model. The record is from RNAcentral.